This 366-nucleotide ribosomal RNA is filed under the name uncultured bacterium. Its description in RNAcentral is "partial 16S ribosomal RNA". It matches the Rfam family "Bacterial small subunit ribosomal RNA", at positions 338 to 701 of the family's 1533-position model. The record is from RNAcentral.
CCUACGGGUGGCAGCAGUGAGGAAUAUUGGUCAAUGGGCGCGAGCCUGAACCAGCCAAGUAGCGUGAAGGAUGACUGCCCUACGGGUUGUAAACUUCUUUUAUAAAGGAAUAAAGUGAGGCACGUGUGCGUUUUUGUAUGUACUUUAUGAAUAAGGAUCGGCUAACUCCGUGCCAGCAGCCGCGGUAAUACGGAGGAUCCGAGCGUUAUCCGGAUUUAUUGGGUUUAAAGGGAGCGUAGUUGGGUUGUUCAGUCAGUUGUGAAAGUUUGCGGCGCAACCGUAAAAUUGCAAUUGAUACUGGCAGCCUUUAUUACAGUUGAGGUAGGCGGACUUCGUGUUGUAGCGGUGACAUGCUUCGAUCUCACG